Molecule: ribosomal RNA, 501 nt
Filed under: uncultured bacterium
Lineage: Bacteria
Description: partial 16S ribosomal RNA
Rfam family: Bacterial small subunit ribosomal RNA
Source: RNAcentral
AUUGAACGCUGGCGGCAUGCCUUACACAUGCAAGUCGAACGGCAGCACGGGUGCUUGCACCUGGUGGCGAGUGGCGAACGGGUGAGUAAUACAUCGGAACGUACCUUAUCGUGGGGGAUAACGCAGCGAAAGCUGUGCUAAUAUCGCAUACGCCCUGAGGGGCAAAGCGGGGGAUCGCAAGACCUCGCGCGAUUAGAGCGGCCGAUGCCUGAUUAGCUUGUUGGUGGGGUAAAAGCCCACCAAGGCGACGAUCAGUAGCUGGUCUGAGAGGACGAUCAGCCACACUGGGACUGAGACACGGCCCAGACUCCUACGGGAGGCAGCAGUGGGGAAUUUUGGACAAUGGGGGCAACCCUGAUCCAGCAAUGCCGCGUGAGUGAAGAAGGCCUUCGGGUUGUAAAGCUCUUUUGUCAGGGAAGAAACACCGGCUCUAACACAGUCUGGGAAUGACGGUACCUGAAGAAUAAGCACCGGCCAACUACGUGCCAGCCGCCGCCGUAA